AACGAACGCUGGCGGCAGGCCUAACACAUGCAAGUCGAGCGAACCCUUCGGGGUUAGCGGCGGACGGGUUAGUAACGCGUGGGAAUAUACCCUUUGGUACGGAAUAGCCUCGGGAAACUGAGAGUAAUACCGUAUGUGCCCUUCGGGGGAAAGGAUUUAUCGCCAAAGGAUUAGCCCGCGUUGGAUUAGAUAGUUGGUGGGGUAAUGGCCUACCAAGUCUACGAUCCAUAGCUGGUUUGAGAGGAUGAUCAGCAACACUGGGACUGAGACACGGCCCAGACUCCUACGGGAGGCAGCAGUGGGGAAUCUUAGACAAUGGGCGCAAGCCUGAUCUAGCCAUGCCGCGUGGACGAUGAAGGCCUUAGGGUUGUAAAGUCCUUUCAGCUGGGAAGGAUAAUGACGGUACCAGCAGAAGAAGCCCGGCUAACUCCGUGCCAGCAGCCGCGGUAAAGU
Molecule: ribosomal RNA, 453 nt
Filed under: uncultured bacterium
Lineage: Bacteria
Description: bacterial SSU rRNA
Rfam family: Bacterial small subunit ribosomal RNA
Source: RNAcentral